This 492-nucleotide ribosomal RNA is filed under the name uncultured bacterium. RNAcentral describes it as "partial 16S ribosomal RNA". It matches the Rfam family "Bacterial small subunit ribosomal RNA", at positions 29 to 507 of the family's 1533-position model. The record is from RNAcentral.
AGUGAACGCUGGCGGUAGGCCUAACACAUGCAAGUCGAACGGCAGCACAGUAAGAGCUUGCUCUUACGGGUGGCGAGUGGCGGACGGGUGAGGAAUACAUCGGAAUCUACUUUUUCGUGGGGGAUAACGUAGGGAAACUUACUCUAAUACCUCAUACGACCUACGGGUGAAAGCAGGGGAUCUUCGGACCUUGCGCGAUUGAAUGAGCCGAUGUCGGAUUAGCUAGUUGGCGGGGUAAAGGCCCACCAAGGCGACGAUCCGUAGCUGGUCUGAGAGGAUGAUCAGCCACACUGGAACUGAGACACGGUCAAGACUCCUACGGGAGGCAGCAGUGGGGAAUAUUGGACAAUGGGCGCAAGCCUGAUCCAGCCAUACCGCGUGGGUGAAGAAGGCCUUCGGGUUGUAAAGCCCUUUUGUUGGGAAAGAAAAGCAGCAGGUUAAUACCCAGCUGUUCUGACGGUACCCAAAGAAUAAGCACCGGCUAACUUCGUG